AGAGUUUGAUCCUGGCUCAGGAUGAACGCUGGCGGCAUGCCUAAUACAUGCAAGUCGAACGAGGAUCCUUCGGGAUCCUAGUGGCGAACGGGUGAGUAACACGUAGGGAACCUGCCCGCGCACCGGGAAUACGCUCUGGAAACGGAGAACAAAUCCCGAUGUACAGGAAGGAGGCAUCUUCUUUCUGUGAAACAUCCUGUAAGGGAUGGGGCGCGGAUGGACCUGCGGUGCAUUAGUUAGUUGGCGAGGGUAAAGGCCCACCAAGACGAUGAUGCAUAGCCGGCCUGAGAGGGCGGACGGCCACAUUGGGACUGAGACACGGCCCAGACUCCUGCGGGAGGCAGCAGUAGGGAAUUUUCGUCAAUGGGCGCAAGCCUGAACGAGCGAUGCCGCGUGAGUGAAGAAGGCCUUCGGGUCGUAAAGCUCUGUUGCGGGGGAAAAAAGGCAUCUGCAGGAAAUGGUAGAUGACAGAUGGUGCCCCGCCAGAAAGUCACGGCUAACUACGUGCCAGCAGCCGCGGUAAUACGUAGGUGGCGAGCGUUAUCCGGAAUGAUUGGGCGUAAAGGGUGCGCAGGCGGUCCUGCAAGUCUGGAGUGAAACGUAUGAGCUCAACUCAUGCAUGGCUCUGGAAACUGGAGGACUGGAGAGCAGGAGAGGGCGGUGGAACUCCAUGUGUAGCGGUAAAAUGCGUAGAUAUAUGGAAGAACACCAGUGGCGAAGGCGGCCGCCUGGCCUGUUGCUGACGC
Molecule: ribosomal RNA, 746 nt
Filed under: uncultured bacterium
Lineage: Bacteria
Description: bacterial SSU rRNA
Rfam family: Bacterial small subunit ribosomal RNA
Source: RNAcentral